This 203-nucleotide ribosomal RNA is filed under the name uncultured bacterium. RNAcentral's name for it is "partial 16S ribosomal RNA". It matches the Rfam family "Bacterial small subunit ribosomal RNA", at positions 524 to 725 of the family's 1533-position model. The record is from RNAcentral.
UACGUAGGUGGCAAGCGUUGUUCGGAAUUAUUGGGCGUAAAGGGCGCGUAGGCGGCUUGUUAAGUCGGCUGUGAAAAGCCCGGGGCUCAACCCCGGAGGGUCAGCCGAUACUGGCAGGCUAGAGUACGGAAGAGGUAGCUGGAAUUCCCGGUGUAGCGGUGAAAUGCGUAGAUAUCGUAAGGAAGACCAGUGGCGAAGGGCGG